GGUUAAGCGACUAAGCGUACACGGUGGAUGCCCUGGCAGUCAGAGGCGAUGAAGGACGUGCUAAUCUGCGAUAAGCGUCGGUAAGGUGAUAUGAACCGUUAUAACCGGCGAUUUCCGAAUGGGGAAACCCAGUGUGUUUCGACACACUAUCAUUAACUGAAUCCAUAGGUUAAUGAGGCGAACCGGGGGAACUGAAACAUCUAAGUACCCCGAGGAAAAGAAAUCAACCGAGAUUCCCCCAGUAGCGGCGAGCGAACGGGGAGCAGCCCAGAGCCUGAAUCAGUGUGUGUGUUAGUGGAAGCGUCUGGAAAGGCGCGCGAUACAGGGUGACAGCCCCGUACACAAAAAUGCACAUACUGUGAGCUCGAUGAGUAGGGCGGGACACGUGGUAUCCUGUCUGAAUAUGGGGGGACCAUCCUCCAAGGCUAAAUACUCCUGACUGACCGAUAGUGAACCAGUACCGUGAGGGAAAGGCGAAAAGAACCCCGGCGAGGGGAGUGAAAAAGAACCUGAAACCGUGUACGUACAAGCAGUGGGAGCACGCUUAGGCGUGUGACUGCGUACCUUUUGUAUAAUGGGUCAGCGACUUAUAUUCUGUAGCAAGGUUAACCGAAUAGGGGAGCCGAAGGGAAACCGAGUCUUAACUGGGCGUUAAGUUGCAGGGUAUAGACCCGAAACCCGGUGAUCUAGCCAUGGGCAGGUUGAAGGUUGGGUAACACUAACUGGAGGACCGAACCGACUAAUGUUGAAAAAUUAGCGGAUGACUUGUGGCUGGGGGUGAAAGGCCAAUCAAACCGGGAGAUAGCUGGUUCUCCCCGAAAGCUAUUUAGGUAGCGCCUCGUGAAUUCAUCUCCGGGGGUAGAGCACUGUUUCGGCAAGGGGGUCAUCCCGACUUACCAACCCGAUGCAAACUGCGAAUACCGGAGAAUGUUAUCACGGGAGACACACGGCGGGUGCUAACGUCCGUCGUGAAGAGGGAAACAACCCAGACCGCCAGCUAAGGUCCCAAAGUCAUGGUUAAGUGGGAAACGAUGUGGGAAGGCCCAGACAGCCAGGAUGUUGGCUUAGAAGCAGCCAUCAUUUAAAGAAAGCGUAAUAGCUCACUGGUCGAGUCGGCCUGCGCGGAAGAUGUAACGGGGCUAAACCAUGCACCGAAGCUGCGGCAGCGACGCUUAUGCGUUGUUGGGUAGGGGAGCGUUCUGUAAGCCUGCGAAGGUGUGCUGUGAGGCAUGCUGGAGGUAUCAGAAGUGCGAAUGCUGACAUAAGUAACGAUAAAGCGGGUGAAAAGCCCGCUCGCCGGAAGACCAAGGGUUCCUGUCCAACGUUAAUCGGGGCAGGGAGAGUCGACCCCUAAGGCGAGGCCGAAAGGCGUAGUCGAUGGGAAACAGGUUAAUAUUCCUGUACUUGGUGUUACUGCGAAGGGGGGACGGAGAAGGCUAUGUUGGCCGGGCGACGGUUGUCCCGGUUUAAGCGUGUAGGCUGGUUUUCCAGGCAAAUCCGGAAAAUCAAGGCUGAGGCGUGAUGACGAGGCACUACGGUGCUGAAGCAACAAAUGCCCUGCUUCCAGGAAAAGCCUCUAAGCAUCAGGUAACAUCAAAUCGUACCCCAAACCGACACAGGUGGUCAGGUAGAGAAUACCAAGGCGCUUGAGAGAACUCGGGUGAAGGAACUAGGCAAAAUGGUGCCGUAACUUCGGGAGAAGGCACGCUGAUAUGUAGGUGAAGUCCCUCGCGGAUGGAGCUGAAAUCAGUCGAAGAUACCAGCUGGCUGCAACUGUUUAUUAAAAACACAGCACUGUGCAAACACGAAAGUGGACGUAUACGGUGUGACGCCUGCCCGGUGCCGGAAGGUUAAUUGAUGGGGUCAGCGCAAGCGAAGCUCUUGAUCGAAGCCCCGGUAAACGGCGGCCGUAACUAUAACGGUCCUAAGGUAGCGAAAUUCCUUGUCGGGUAAGUUCCGACCUGCACGAAUGGCGUAAUGAUGGCCAGGCUGUCUCCACCCGAGACUCAGUGAAAUUGAACUCGCUGUGAAGAUGCAGUGUACCCGCGGCAAGACGGAAAGACCCCGUGAACCUUUACUAUAGCUUGACACUGAACAUUGAGCCUUGAUGUGUAGGAUAGGUGGGAGGCUUUGAAGUGUGGACGCCAGUCUGCAUGGAGCCGACCUUGAAAUACCACCCUUUAAUGUUUGAUGUUCUAACGUUGACCCGUAAUCCGGGUUGCGGACAGUGUCUGGUGGGUAGUUUGACUGGGGCGGUCUCCUCCUAAAGAGUAACGGAGGAGCACGAAGGUUGGCUAAUCCUGGUCGGACAUCAGGAGGUUAGUGCAAUGGCAUAAGCCAGCUUGACUGCGAGCGUGACGGCGCGAGCAGGUGCGAAAGCAGGUCAUAGUGAUCCGGUGGUUCUGAAUGGAAGGGCCAUCGCUCAACGGAUAAAAGGUACUCCGGGGAUAACAGGCUGAUACCGCCCAAGAGUUCAUAUCGACGGCGGUGUUUGGCACCUCGAUGUCGGCUCAUCACAUCCUGGGGCUGAAGUAGGUCCCAAGGGUAUGGCUGUUCGCCAUUUAAAGUGGUACGCGAGCUGGGUUUAGAACGUCGUGAGACAGUUCGGUCCCUAUCUGCCGUGGGCGCUGGAGAACUGAGGGGGGCUGCUCCUAGUACGAGAGGACCGGAGUGGACGCAUCACUGGUGUUCGGGUUGUCAUGCCAAUGGCACUGCCCGGUAGCUAAAUGCGGAAGAGAUAAGUGCUGAAAGCAUCUAAGCACGAAACUUGCCCCGAGAUGAGUUCUCCCUGACUCCUUGAGAGUCCUGAAGGAACGUUGAAGACGACGACGUUGAUAGGCCGGGUGUGUAAGCGCAGCGAUGCGUUGAGCUAACCGGUACUAAUGAACCGUGAGGCUUAACCUU
RNAcentral lists this ribosomal RNA (2904 nucleotides) under Escherichia coli. RNAcentral's name for it is "23S ribosomal RNA". It matches the Rfam family "Bacterial large subunit ribosomal RNA". Lineage: Bacteria; Pseudomonadati; Pseudomonadota; Gammaproteobacteria; Enterobacterales; Enterobacteriaceae. The record is from RNAcentral.